Molecule: ribosomal RNA, 503 nt
Filed under: uncultured bacterium
Lineage: Bacteria
Description: partial 16S ribosomal RNA
Rfam family: Bacterial small subunit ribosomal RNA
Source: RNAcentral
AUUGAACACUGGCGGCAGGCUUAACACAUGCAAGUCGAGCGGGGUGAUGGUGCUUGCACUAUCACUUAGCGGCGGACGGGUGAGUAAUGCUUAGGAAUCUGCCUAUUAGUGGGGGACAACAUCUCGAAAGGGAUGCUAAUACCGCAUACGUCCUACGGGAGAAAGCAGGGGAUCACUUGUGACCUUGCGCUAAUAGAUGAGCCUAAGUCGGAUUAGCUAGUUGGUGGGGUAAAGGCCUACCAAGGCGACGAUCUGUAGCGGGUCUGAGAGGAUGAUCCGGCACACUGGGACUGAGACACGGCCCAGACUCCUACGGGAGGCAGCAGUGUGGAAUAUUGGCCAAUGGGGGGAACCCUGAUCCAGCCAUGCCGCGUGUGUGAAGAAGGCCUUAUGGUUGUAAAGCACUUUAAGCGAGGAGGAGGCUCUUUUGGUUAAUACCCAAGAUGAGUGGACGUUACUCGCAGAAUAAGCACCGGCUAACUCUGUGACAGCCGCCGCAGUAA